CAGUGAAACUAGAUGGCAAGUUGUGUACUCACAAAGACGUUUUUUCAUCACCACUAGUCUGCUUAUGUGCAUAAUUUCACUGGUAUGAACUCUAUUCUAAUUCGUAUUGCUUAAAACAAGAUAUCAUAAAUGAUUAUCAACAUAAAAUGCACUAAAAUGUCAGUUUUGUUCAAUUUCAAAAUUUAAACAUCCUUUUAUGUUCCCGCUGAUGAUAAUGCUUACAGAUGCUCAAUCCUUCUUGUUAUGUUUAUUUAUUUAAUUAUAUUCGACAAAACUAAGCUUGUAAAGAUAUGCACACCUUAAUAAAUCAGUCAACAUGGAGAAUCUUCAAUCCAAACAAUAAAGCAAUCAGCUGAGGAUGCUAAGUGAGCUAAUCUAUCUGUCAGCGCUAAGCGCAUUAGCAGCGGUAGGAAUGGCAGAAAAGCCGAAAGCAGCAUGCAAGCAAAGCAUAGCCCGCACAUCUUCAAUAAUCCUCCCUUCCAUUAAACCUGAUUAAUUCAAAAAGUAAGGUACUAACAAAUCUGCUUCAAAUCAAGCGGCUGGAAAUCCCAGGACAAUGCCUCAAUUGUUCAUCACAUUAAGGUAAACCACUCAAUUAGCUAAAAGUUUGUGCAGAAUAAUCCCAUUCAUAUCCUCCACUACCUCAACAAGCUGUAAAUUUAUUCUGCCAAAAAGAAAAUGAACAAAAAAAAAGGUGAAUAGUUGUAAUCAUAAGGGCUAAGUGAUGGCAAAUUCAGCAUAUGAAAACUAUUUUAAUACGGUAAAAAGAAUAGCAAUAAUAAGAUCAAGGUUCCCAUACCCAACUUAUAUUGAAGGUGAUUAUCCAACGAUGAUUAAGCAACAACAGUUCCAGAGCAUAACACCGUAAACAACGAGUUCUCACAUGAGAUUAUAUGUAGAUUCUACCUCCCACAAAAACAUUAUCAAAAAAUAAUGAGCACAUUAGCAAAGAAGGAAAAGAAAAAAGGGAACAAUUGCUUGGUUUGCUUGGCAGAGUGAGAAAAAGCAGAAAACUUGUCUUGGGAUGUUACUGCAAAUUUCAUUUUUGAGGUGCAUGGCUAAAUGAGCAACAUGGAUCAUGAUGAGCUUCUAUGAAGAAAGUUAAUGUAAAUUUGUUACACAUUAUCCAAAAUAAAAUGUUGUGGAGCUGAGUCAAUGAAUCAUGACAAGAACACACCUACUUUUCCUUAAAAUGUGAAUGUGACAAUGAAUUUGGCAAUCGGAAAUCUUAAAAGCCAGGGUUCUAUAAUCUUUUGUUAGUGGAAAGAAUGCAUUAUCCCUUGGACACAACAUAAAUGGAAUUUUUAGAUAUAAAUGAUUGUACCUCAACAUAUCGAAUAUCCUGCAGACAUAAGCAGCUUCAUCCUUCCAUCACCAUCCAGCACCAAAAAUUUCAGAUGCUUUUACAAUUUUAAAUGUUUCAAUUUCUCAAGAACCUGCUUCAUUGACGGCCGCACAGAAAGCGACUCUACUGUGCAGGUUGAAGCAAGCUUUAGCAUUCCCAACAGAUGCUCCUUAGGCCCUGCUUCCCAUAGUUCCACAGAGAAGAGCUCUGAAGAACGUCCCUCCUUGAUCAACAAUUUGGCCCAAGCAACAAUGUUGAAGCCAUUCCCAUACUCAGAAAAUGACGGAUCAAGGGAUUUCUUUCCUGACAUCAAUUCCAACAUCACUACACCAAAGCUAUAAACAUCUGACUUGUCAGAAACCCUGCAUGUGGUUGCAUAUUCUGGUGCGACAUAACCAAAUGUGCCAGCUACAUCUGUUGUGGCAUGGGUCUGAGAAACUUCUAAAAGCCUAGCCAAACCAAAGUCUGAUAGGUAGGCAUUAAGCUCCUCAUCCAGCAGGAUGUUACUAGGCUUAAUAUCCCGAUGAAGUAUUCGGGGCACACAUGAGUAGUGCAGGUAAGCUAAAGCAUGAGCUAUGUCAAGAGCUAUAUUGUAAAUCACCGACCAUUUUACACUUUUGCUUGACCUUUCAUGUAUGAAGGUUUGAAGGUUCCCACCAGAAAGAUAAUUGUAAAUUAAGAACAUUUCAGCUUCUCCCACAUAAUAUCCGAUCAAAGUCACAAGGUUCUUAUGUCGAAUUCUUCCCAGCGUUCUGAUCUCCGCAUCAAACUGUUGAAUUCCCUGAAAUCUGCCCAGGGAGAGCCGCUUUACUGCUACAAGGUAGCCUGGGGCCAAUUCUGCUUUGUAAGUUGACCCAAAGCCACCUGUGCCAAUGAGAUUCCUAGUACUGAAAUUCCCAGUUGCUCUGACCACACUGUCAUAGCUCAAUUCAGCUGGAGCAUCUGCAAAAGUCACUAGUACUUUGCCUCCCAAGUUUGAGAGUCUACCAAACUUUUUCCUUCCAUGAACACUGACUGCAACUACCACCAAGGAAAUACAAAGUACAAAGGAAGCAGAAACAACCACUGCAAUUAUAACAGUCUUCUUAUUUCUGUGUCUUUGCCAUUUUCCAUCUCCAUUUGAAUCAGGUGGUGAGUUAGAGGUUGGAUCUGGGCAUUGUUCCAGAAACAAAUUCCCUCUAAACCAAUCACAGUCAAUCGUAUGUUGAAGUUGGGGUAUAUGACCUGAAAGGUGAUUGAAAGAAACAUCUAACAUGGAAAGAUUGGAAAGGGUUGAGAAAGAUGAUGGUAUCUCCCCAGAAAGCGCAUUGUUGUUGAGUAACACGAUUUCAAGAUUUUGGGCAUUUGUCAAACUUUCAGGGAUGGUUCCUGUUAUGGCAUUAUGAGACAGAUCUAAAACUGUAAGAGAAUUCAACUGACCAAGUUCAGAUGGAAUACCUCCUGCUACAUUGUUGCUUCCCAUGAGAAUUGAUUUCACAAGUCUCAGAUUCCCUAACUGAUUAGGUAGAUUUCCAGAUAGUCUGUUUCCUCUCAAGUCUAAACAUUGAAGCUUCUUCAAGUUGCCAAUACUGGGAGGUAGUGAACCACUAAUCUGAUUAUAUGCUGCUUCAAACUGUGUCAUCGAUACACAACUAAGAUACAAUGAAUCAUGAAUCUCACCAGAUAUAUGGUUUGCACUCAAAUUCACAGAGAAGCUCAGCAGAUCAUUACAACUUGAGACUAAUUCAUCAGGAAAAGACCCAUUAAACAUGUUAUUGUUCAACAACAACCUGUAUGCAGGUUUAUUCUUAGUGGCCAAGAAUUCAUUUCCUACUGAGAACAAAGGCAACAAACCAGCAAAUUGGUUCCAACUAAAAUCAUGGUUAAUAACGAAGUCUUCAUCCAUCUUUGACCCCAAAGGAUUUCUCAUCUGAGGACCCCAGACCGGAAUGUUAGAGUAUGCAAUUUGUACAUCCUCCACAUCCAAAAAGUUAGGAUCUUGACCAAAAGAGAUCAUGCUAUUAUCACAACUGCCUUCACUAAAACUUGGAAGAACACCAGACAUAUUAUUUCGACUAACAUUGAAAUACACCAUACAAGAAACUUGCAGUCGCAUAGGAAGGUAACCCACCAAGUAAUUGGAACUCAAAUCCAAGAAAGUAAGGUUCUUACACACCCUCAAACCCUUUGGCACCACACCCUUGAAAGAAUUGAAGCCCAAAUGGAGAACUCUAAGUGAGCACGAAUCACUCCAAUUGCUAGGCAACCGUCCACCAAGAUUCCCUCUAGGUGCCCACAAAAUCUGCAAACUUGGAAGCAUCAAGACCUCAUAAGGAAUACCCUCAUCAAAAGCAUUGAACUCUAGCCCACUGCCAUUAUCCCAAUCACCGUUUCCAUUGCCAACAAAAUUGCUUGAAUUAGUUAACACCAAGACAGAGAGUUUUCGACAAUAACCCAACUCCUUUGGGAUCCUCUCAGUGAGACUAUUAGUGGAAACAUCGAGGACACGAAGCUCUGAAAUCUGACCAAUCUCAGACGGAAUCCUACCUUGUAAAAGGUUUCCAUCAAGCAACAAAAUCCUCAAAUUCUUGCACUGACCAAUCUCCUUGGGAAUACUCUUGUCCAAAAGGUUAUUAGAGAGCUUCAAGUGUCUCAAAAACAAACACUUACUUGAAUUAUCAAGUUUGAUCUCACCAGUAAGCAGAUUAUUGGAUAAAUCAAUAGCUUGCAAUUUCCCAUAGCCAAUUAAACUAGCUGGAAUUUCACCAGUGAACGAAUUAAACGAUAAAUUAAGCACCCUAAGAGACUGAAGAAUGCUUAUCUGAUCAGGAAUUCUCCCGGACAAGUUAUUUCCUUGAAGCUCCAAAACCUCCAAAAACUGAAGCUUGCUCAAACUCACUGGAAUCUCACCGAAAAAAGCGUUGUGAGGAAUGACCAAAGCUCUCAACUCCGUCAGGUCACCAAUAGAAUCAGGCAGAGUUCCGGCGAGGAAUGACGUCAAACUGCCAGCAGUGAAGUUCAAGGCAAUAACUCUCCUAGAAAAUUCAUCACAGGCGACUCCAUACCAGCUGCAGCAAUCACUAUUUGGGGUCCAACCACCAAGAAGAUUUGAAGGGUCUAGAGAAAUCGACUCCUUGAAAUCAAGAAGUGCGGCGGUGUCGUUAAGAACGGGAGGUUCAACCAAUGUGGAACUUACCACAGAAGAGGCCAAAGCAACAAAAAGAAACCAAGUAACCACCAUUCUUCUCCUACCAACGAGGCUCGCCGGACCCAGAGAAAAAAGUCACCGCCGACGAGAUGAGUCCGUUGAAGAAAAAGUAACGAACAAAAUUUAAAAAGGGUAACCGACGUUCGGCUUGGAGCCAAAACGGUAAAGUUCUGGUUGUUUAAGUGUUUAAAGCUUAAAGAAAAGACAUAGUUAGGAAGAUGAUUAAGGUGUAAUCAAGAAGAUAGUGAAAAAGGGCAAAAUGAAAAAAUGCAAUAGCCGGAGAAAGCAAGAAAAGGAAAAUGAAAGGAAGCUGUUGCUGGGUUGGCUCUCUC
RNAcentral lists this unclassified non-coding RNA (4864 nucleotides) under Hevea brasiliensis (rubber tree). Lineage: Eukaryota; Viridiplantae; Streptophyta; Magnoliopsida; Malpighiales; Euphorbiaceae. The record is from RNAcentral.